This is a long non-coding RNA of Mesocricetus auratus (golden hamster), 923 nucleotides long. RefSeq lists it as uncharacterized. NCBI's taxonomy places the organism in Eukaryota, Metazoa, Chordata, Mammalia, Rodentia, Cricetidae. The record is from RefSeq and is a predicted model, not a curated record. The transcript has 2 exons.
GAGCAGACAUCAGUUGGUCCACAGCAGACGGACAUUCUGGUUGUUGAAUGAUCACUCUUGGGCAAGCCUGAGUGUGCAUGUGUUUUAGGGUAUGGGAUGCGGGUGUGGCUCACUCUGAGUGGGAAGGACACAGCCCUAAAGAAUUCAUGGCUUUAUACUCCCCACCCUCUCAGCUGGGUAUCUCUGGUCUGACAGAUCUGUGCCUCAGAUGUCAAAGCAGUUUCAAGUCGACUUGGUGAGGCUGGGCCGAGCUUCACGCAGUUGGAUUGUGACUGCCAUCUCCGUACCCAUCCACAAAUACAUAUUAGAGUAGAGCAUGAGCAAAACACCAAAAAGGAGAAAGAAGAAAAGGAAACCACCCACUUUAUUACUGCAUUUUCUUUCUCCUUUAAAAAAAAGUUGUGUAAUUCUGCACAUAUGCCUAAAUAGAGUGAGCUGGCUGAGUGUGGCCUCUUUCCUCACCUGUGCUACAGUUUGAAGUGCUGCCUAGCCCUGUACUUGAGGGCUGUCUCGUGUUUUGCUUUAUUUCCCCAUUGCUGCAAUCUAGCUUGCUUCCCUUUUCUUCCUGUAGACAACACUGCAGUGGAAAUCCUGAUGUCUAUGAAUAUCCUUUAUGCCAGCGGGGUGUCUGUGCGAUUCAUGGACAUCAGGGGUGUCCAGCAUCUGCUCCGUCAAGAAUCAGGUGCUGUAGGUGGCCAGAAGAGGGCGUAUGAUUCCCUGGACCUGGAGUUACAAGCAGUUGUGAGCUGCUUGACCUAGGUGCUGGGAAGCAAUCUUUGGUUCUCUGGAAGAGCAGCAAGCACUCUUAAUCCCUGAGGUGUCUGUCCACUCCCUCUUUCUUUUUGAUGCAUUUCAUGUAGCUAGCCUAUUCUAGCCUGGAACUUGGUGUGCAUUCAAGUAUGACCUUGAGCUUCUUUCUAAAA